GGGGAAUUUUGGACAAUGGGCGAAAGCCUGAUCCAGCAAUGCCGCGUGUGUGAUGAAGGCCUUCGGGUUGUAAAGCACUUUUGGCGGGAACGAAAAGGACUGUGCCAAUACCACGGUUCGAUGACGGUACCCGCAGAAUAAGCACCGGCUAACUACGUGCCAGCAGCCGCGGUAAUACGUAGGGUGCAAGCGUUAAUCGGAAUUACUGGGCGUAAAGAGUGCGCAGGCGGUUUUGCAAGACCGAUGUGAAAUCCCCGGGCUUAACCUGGGAACUGCAUUGGUGACUGCAAGGCUAGAGUGUGUCAGAGGGAGGUGGAAUUCCGCAUGUAGCAGUGAAAUGCGUAGAUAUGCGGAGGAACACCGAUGGCGAAGGCAGCCUCCUGGGAUAACACUGACGCUCAUGCACGAAAGCGUGGGGAGCAAACAGGAUUAGAUACCCUGGUAGUCCACGCCCUAAACGAUGUCUACUAGUUGUCGGGGAUUAAUUUCCUUGGUAACGCAGCUAACGCGUGAAGUAGACCGCCUGGGGAGUACGGUCGCAAGAUUA
Molecule: ribosomal RNA, 547 nt
Filed under: uncultured bacterium
Lineage: Bacteria
Description: bacterial SSU rRNA
Rfam family: Bacterial small subunit ribosomal RNA
Source: RNAcentral